Molecule: ribosomal RNA, 374 nt
Filed under: uncultured organism
Description: bacterial SSU rRNA
Rfam family: Bacterial small subunit ribosomal RNA
Source: RNAcentral
CGGGGGGAGCAAGCGUUGUUCGGAUUUACUGGGCGUAAAGGGCGCGUAGGCGGCCACCGCAAGUCGACUGCGAAAUCUCCGGGCUUAACCCGGAAAGGUCAGCCGAUACUGCGGGGCUAGAGUGCAGAAGGGGCAACUGGAAUUCUCGGUGUAGCGGUGAAAUGCGUAGAUAUCGAGAGGAACACCUGCGGCGAAGGCGGGUUGCUGGGCUGACACUGACGCUGAUGCGCGAAAGCUAGGGGAGCGAACGGGAUUAGAUACCCCGGUAGUCCUAGCCUUAAACGAUGAAUGCUUGGUGUCUGGGGUUUUAUAGUCCCCGGGUGCCGUCGCUAACGCUUUAAGCAUUCCGCCUGGGGAGUACGGUCGCAAGACUG